Molecule: ribosomal RNA, 239 nt
Filed under: uncultured bacterium
Lineage: Bacteria
Description: partial 16S ribosomal RNA
Rfam family: Bacterial small subunit ribosomal RNA
Source: RNAcentral
CGUGAGGAACCUGCCCUGGAGUGGGGAAUAACACAGUGAAAAUUGUGCUAAUACCGCAUAAUGCAGUUGAGUCGCAUGGCUCUGACUGCCAAAGAUUUAUCGCUCUGGGAUGGACUCGCGUCUGAUUAGCUGGUUGGUGGGGUAACGGCCCACCAAGGCGACGAUCAGUAGCCGGACUGAGAGGUUGGCCGGCCACAUUGGGACUGAGACACGGCCCAGACUCCUACGGGAGGCAGCAG